UUUCGCAAUGCCCGAAAGGGUGACGAAGCGACGCCGCGUGCGGGAGGAAGGCCUUCGGGUUGUAAACCGCUGUCGGGAGUUAAGAAAUGCAAGGAUGUUAAUAGCGUUCUUGCUUGACUAAGGCUCCGGAGGAAGCCACGGCUAACUCUGUGCCAGCAGCCGCGGUAAUACAGAGGCGGCAAGCGUUGUUCGGAAUUAUUGGGCGUAAAGAGCACGUAGGCGGCUGUGUAAGUCGGUUGUGAAAGCCUUCCGCUCAACGGAAGAACGGCAUCCGAUACUGCAUGGCUUGAGUGUGGGAGGGGAGAGUGGAACUUCUGGUGGAGCGGUGAGAUGCGUAGAUAUCAGAAGGAACACCGGCGGCGAAGGCGACUCUCUGGUCCAUAACUGACGCUGAGUGUGCGAAAGCUAGGGGAGCAAACGGGAUUAGAUACCCCGGUAGUCCUAGCCGUAAACGAUGGGCACUAAGUAGAGGGGUUUU
This 478-nucleotide ribosomal RNA is filed under the name uncultured Planctomycetales bacterium. RNAcentral's name for it is "bacterial SSU rRNA". It matches the Rfam family "Bacterial small subunit ribosomal RNA", at positions 364 to 832 of the family's 1533-position model. Lineage: Bacteria; Pseudomonadati; Planctomycetota; Planctomycetia; Planctomycetales. The record is from RNAcentral.